ACACUACUUAUGCCAGGUCCUGCCUCCCUCGCAGAAGAAGCAGCCUGCAACUUUUGCUGCUCUAGACAACGCUUCAUCUCUCAGGGAGCAGAGCUCUGCAGAGUGGAUUUGGGGGAUCAGAGGGGAUCUGCCUCUGCAAUUUACAGCUGCCUUGCUGACAAGACCUCCUUGAGAGACCCCAGAAGCCAUCCACUAAACUGGAGCUUUUCAGACCCCAGGACGAGUGACCAAGCAUCCAAGCUAUGCCCAGCCUGGCUGCAGCAACCUUCUCCCUGAAAUAUGAAUCUUUCACCCAGAGGACAAGAAAAGGCUUUGG
Long non-coding RNA from Dryobates pubescens (Downy woodpecker), 316 nucleotides. RefSeq lists it as uncharacterized. Lineage: Eukaryota; Metazoa; Chordata; Aves; Piciformes; Picidae. The transcript is spliced from 3 exons. The record is from RefSeq and is a predicted model, not a curated record.